GACGAACGCUGGCGGCGUGCUUAACACAUGCCAGUCGAACGGAAAGGCCCUGCUUUUGUGGGGGGCUCGAGUGGCGAACGGGUGAGUAACACGUGAGUAACCUGCCCUUGACUUUGGGAUAACUUCAGGAAACUGGGGCUAAUACCGGAUAGGAGCGCCUGCUGCAUGGUGGGGGUUGGAAAGUUUCGGCGGUUGGGGAUGGACUCGCGGCUUAUCAGCUUGUUGGUGGGGUAGUGGCUUACCAAGGCUUUGACGGGUAGCCGGCCUGAGAGGGUGACCGGCCACAUUGGGACUGAGAUACGGCCCAGACUCCUACGGGAGGCAGCAGUGGGGAAUAUUGCACAAUGGGCGGAAGCCUGAUGCAGCAACGCCGCGUGCGGGAUGACGGCCUUCGGGUUGUAAACCGCUUUCGCCUGUGACGAAGCGUGAGUGACGGUAAUGGGUAAAGAAGCACCGGCUAACUACGUG
Molecule: ribosomal RNA, 468 nt
Filed under: uncultured bacterium
Lineage: Bacteria
Description: partial 16S ribosomal RNA
Rfam family: Bacterial small subunit ribosomal RNA
Source: RNAcentral